CCUACGGGUGGCAGCAGUGAGGAAUAUUGGUCAAUGGACGAGAGUCUGAACCAGCCAAGUAGCGUGAAGGAUGACUGCCCUAUGGGUUGUAAACUUCUUUUAUAAAGGAAUAAAACGAGGCACGUGUGCCUUUUUGCAUGUACUUUAUGAAUAAGGAUCGGCUAACUCCGUGCCAGCAGCCGCGGUAAUACGGAGGAUGCGAGCGUUAUCCGGAUUUAUUGGGUUUAAAGGGUGCUUAGGCGGGCUGUUAAGUCAGCGGUCAACUGUCGGGGCUCAACCCCGGCCUGCCGUUGAAACUGGCGGCUUCGAGUGGGCGAGAAGUAUGCGGAAUGCGUGGUGUAGCGGUGAAAUGCAUAGAUAUCACGCAGAACUCCGAUUGCGAAGGCAGCAUACCGGCGCCCGACUGACGCUGAGGCACGAAAGCGUGGGUAUCGAACAGGAUUAGAUACCCGAGUAGUC
Molecule: ribosomal RNA, 459 nt
Filed under: uncultured bacterium
Lineage: Bacteria
Description: partial 16S ribosomal RNA
Rfam family: Bacterial small subunit ribosomal RNA
Source: RNAcentral